Molecule: ribosomal RNA, 335 nt
Filed under: uncultured bacterium
Lineage: Bacteria
Description: bacterial SSU rRNA
Rfam family: Bacterial small subunit ribosomal RNA
Source: RNAcentral
GACGAACGCUGGCGGCGUGCCUAAUACAUGCAAGUCGAGCGAGCUUGCCUAGAUGAUUUUAGUGCUUGCACUAAAUGAAACUAGAUACAAGCGAGCGGCGGACGGGUGAGUAACACGUGAGUAACCUGCCCCAGAGUGGGGGACAACAGUUGGAAACGACUGCUAAUACCGCAUAAGCCCACGGAACCGCAUGGUUCUGGGGGAAAAGGAGCAAUUCGCUUUGGGAUGGACUCGCGUCCGAUUAGCUAGAUGGUGAGGUAACGGCCCACCAUGGCGACGAUCGGUAGCCGGACUGAGAGGUUGAUCGGCCACAUUGGGACUGAGACACGGCUCAG